Paramuricea clavata is the source of this 337-nucleotide non-coding RNA. Lineage: Eukaryota; Metazoa; Cnidaria; Anthozoa; Malacalcyonacea; Plexauridae. The record is from the annotation of a GenBank genome assembly.
UUGUGGGGAAAGGGAGUUCAAACCUUUCAGAAGUCCCACACGUUCACAAAUUAAAAUACAAUAAACGACAAACAAAAAUAUUUAAUAAAAAGGUCACUAUGUCACAAUCGUUUCGAUAUGUAAAUCACCGUCUCUCACCGAGUAUAUAUAACAACACACGAGUCACAAUACACAAGCCCACAAAAUCUGUUUGUUAUUGUCAUGCUGCCCUAAUCACGUGAUUACUUUGCCCAAUCAUAAUUGUCUAUAUUCGUUUGUAAUGUAAUAUCCCUAAUUAAUCUAAAAUUUACUAUAAUUGAAUUAGUGCUAAAUAGUAAUAAGGUCAGUUUCCGACACA